Molecule: long non-coding RNA, 1975 nt
Organism: Gadus morhua (Atlantic cod)
Lineage: Eukaryota; Metazoa; Chordata; Actinopteri; Gadiformes; Gadidae
Source: Ensembl
CGGUGUCUUCCGUCAGAGACCAGCGCCCCUCGGUUCCGCCGCCCCCCACCCCAGAGGUGACGGACGAGGAGCUGGUCCGGACGGUCACUGACGGAGAAAUGGCUGAUGCUUGAAGGACAAAGGUAGGUUUAUCAGGUGAUGUAGCCGUCUUUGUUGGUGGUAGACGCGCCGUCCUCACUCACGUGUUGGUAAUGUGGAUUUGAUUAAACUCCCCAUGUAGCACACCUCGCCAUGUAGCACACCUCUUAACAGUCGCCUUGUAGCACACCUCUUAACGGUCACCUUGUAGCACACCUCUUAACGGUCGCCUUGUAGCACACCUCUUAACGGUCGCCUUGUAGCACUAAACCAUUUUAUCUAAUCAACGGCAUGCUGCACGUCAUGAAUGCUCAGACUCACUUAGUCUCGCUUGCCCGUGUGUUGCCCCGUCACUCUCAUUGUGCUGAUGACGUUUGGUUGUGCGUGACCGUGUCUGAAGCUGGCGUACAGGUCCUUCAGGCCCUCCCGCUCCCGCUGGAGACGCCUCCGUCUCCGCCUCCCCCGGCACCGUCCUCCACCCCUCCACCACCACCACCACCACCACCUCCACCACCACCACCACCACCACAGGUUGCGGCUGCUCCACCGACGGUCGGGCUUCCAGCUCGGGCUCCGGCGCAGACCAGGGUGGAGCCUUGUGGCGUCUCCGUGGAGGAGACGCCGUGCGGGGAGGCCACCCUGGCGCCGGGGCCCAAGACGAAGAGGAGGAAGACGACGACGACGAAGGGCGGCGUGGAGCAGCCGGCAACGCCCGCUCCUGCUCGGGCUGAGACCCGGUUGGCUGAGGGCUGGCGGACAGCCCUCACCGGGGAGGAGCAGGAGCUGAACAGUAGGACCCUCUCGCUGUGGUUCACCCGGACGCAGCGAGAGAAGGAGAGGGCUGUGUUGACUCCAGGCGUUGCAGCAGACGGAGGACGACCACCGGCGGCGGCCGCGGCGACAGCGCCGGGCCCGGCCUCGGCAGCGGCGGUGGAUCGUCCGGCGGCAGCAGCGACGGCGACGUCGGCGGUGCCUCAAGGCCGGGCGACGCCAGCGGCAGCGAGGGGGGCGGCGGUGGCCCCGGCAGCGGCCCCGGCUGUGGCAGCACCGGGGCCCGCUCUGCCGGCGCCCAGACGGCUACUGGCGCCUCGACAGCCCGCCCCCUCGGCUGCUUACCCGGCCUUCCUGCCGACUGCUGCUGCCGCAGCUGCAACUGGACCUUUAAGAGCAGCACAGCCUCUCCUUGUGGACCUCUUACUGCCCCGGCAGAGUGUGUGGGUGCUCCCCGUCCCCGUCCUGACGCUCCCUCGGACACUGCCGGCUCCACACGUCCUCCCUCCGCCGCUGGCCGCCGCACAGCACGCCGGCCCUGAGCUGCCGGUAGCCCUGCCCGCCGCGCAGCACGCCGGCCCUGAGCUGCCUGUACCCCUGCCCGCCGCACAGCACGCCGGCCCUGAGCUGCCUGUACCCCUGCCCGCAGCACAGCACGCCGGCCCUGAGCUGCCGGUAGCCCUCAAAACGGUAGAACGGAGGAGGCUGAACGCCAAGCGGCGGGCGGAGGCACAGCCGGGCACAACAUACUCCUCCCGGGCCGGCGUGCCACAGGUGCAUAAGUGCAGUAAAUGCGGCCAGCCGAGGCGGAGGGAGACCGGACACUCCCGCCACGGCAGAGAAUACUUCUGCUCCGUCGCGGCGGGUCAGAGUGUGGAGGACUGGCUGAGGGAGAAGAGGAGCGGGACCAGGGUGGAGCCCCGCACUGAUGCGCACUCUUGCCGGGGAUGGUGUUGUACAUAGUUCUCUUUUGUAUAUAGUUGUUUUUCUGUUGUGUAUAUAGUUAUUUUGCUGUGUUAGUGUAUAUAGUUGUUUGCUGUAUAUAGUUUUCAUUUUGCAGGGUUAGUGUGUAUAUAGUUCUUUGUUUUGUUGGAUAGCUUCUAAGUUAGUGCAUACACACUGCCUU